This 845-nucleotide long non-coding RNA is filed under the name Vitis vinifera (wine grape). RNAcentral describes it as "uncharacterized LOC100232857 (LOC100232857)". The record is from RNAcentral. Lineage: Eukaryota; Viridiplantae; Streptophyta; Magnoliopsida; Vitales; Vitaceae.
UUAGGAAAAAGAACAAGAGACAGAGAGUGAAAGAUUUAUUUGAUAAUUCCAUAUUCAAACCUUCAUUACAACUAGUAACCAAAGGCCAUAAGAAAAGAAGAACAAGAGAGACAGAGCAAAAGUAAAAUCAGCCAGGGACAUGUAGCCAUGACCCCAACAUUAUUUCCACUACAGCUACUAGCCUCCUGCAACAACCAGUAUGUGGUAGACCACACCGGAUAUAUAAUACCUUUUUCUCUCCCUAGUCUCUCUACCUAUCCAUGAAACUAUAUAGAAAGAUGCAUGCAGAGGAUAUUUAUAUAUAUAUAUAUAUCUAGAAAGAGAGACAUAGAGAAGAAAAUUUAAAAUCUAGUUAUCUAGCACUUAGGGAUGGGAGUCCCACAAGUGCUAGCAACCUUCCUGGCAUUAGGGGAGUUGACAAACUUCUUGAGGUUGGGGUUCUUGAGGUACUGGCAAAGGCAAGGCUUCUGUUCCUUGAUCUUGCUACAGCAUAGUUUAGACGGUGGAGUUGAUGAUGUGAUUGCACCAACGCAAGAGCUCAGUUCCGUGGGGCUGCAUGUUACUGCCACUGUGAUGUGUGCUUCAGCAAGGAGUAGCACCAGUACGGCACAAACUGCAAUAUAUGAUACCUUCAUUUUUGCUCUCACAGAUAUGGUUGAAAGAGAGAGAGAGAGAGAGAAAGAGAGAGAGAGGAUGAGUUGAUGGUUCAUUUGGCUUGGGAAGCUUCUCAAUUUAUAGAGACUGAUGAGACUGAUGAGAGAGCCCCACAAGGAAAGAGCUAAAACCCCACAAGAAACAGGCUAAGGGGAGAAAUUUAAUUUCCAUUAAGUAAAUUCCAAGAACCC